GAUGAACGCUGGCGGCGUGCCUAAUACAUGCAAGUCGAGCGAACAGACGAGGAGCUUGCUCCUCUGACGUUAGCGGCGGACGGGUGAGUAACACGUGGAUAACCUACCUAUAAGACUGGGAUAACUUCGGGAAACCGGAGCUAAUACCGGAUAAUAUAUUGAACCGCAUGGUUCAAUAGUGAAAGACGGUUUUGCUGUCACUUAUAGAUGGAUCCGCGCCGCAUUAGCUAGUUGGUAAGGUAACGGCUUACCAAGGCAACGAUGCGUAGCCGACCUGAUAGGGGGAUCGGCCACACUGGAAGUGAGACACGGUCCAGACUCCUACGGGAGGCAGCAGUAGGGAAUCGUCCGCAAUGGGCGAAAGCCUGACGGAGCAACGCCGCGUGAGUGAUGAAGGUCUUCGGAGCGUAAAACUCUGUUAUUAGGGAAGAACAAAUGUGUAAGUAACUAUGCACGUCUUGACGGUACCUAAUCAGAAAGCCACGGCUAACUACGUG
Molecule: ribosomal RNA, 497 nt
Filed under: uncultured bacterium
Lineage: Bacteria
Description: partial 16S ribosomal RNA
Rfam family: Bacterial small subunit ribosomal RNA
Source: RNAcentral